This 561-nucleotide long non-coding RNA is filed under the name Setaria italica (foxtail millet). RNAcentral's name for it is "long non-coding RNA (SITA_LNC001381)". The record is from RNAcentral. Lineage: Eukaryota; Viridiplantae; Streptophyta; Magnoliopsida; Poales; Poaceae.
AAAUCUUCCCGUUAGCAACCUUCUUCUGUCAGUAGCUUCUCCUCUCGCGUUAAUAGCACAACCAUCAGUUGUUGAUAGCAGGUCAAGUACCAUCACUCUGUUAAUAGCAGGUCAAGCAGUGUGACGGAAACGCACGAAAUAAAAAGUCCCCAACAUGGCCGCGUGCACCCGUGUCAAGUCUCCUCCCGUCGAGAUCACGAGACUCCGCGUGAGACCGAUCCGCGCUCAUGGCCGGUGCUGACAAAUCGCGGUAGCUUGACGUGAUCAAAAGCACCAGGUACGGUUACUGAUGCAUGCGAUACGAUUUGCCAGAUCGCUCACGGCCGUGCACUAGUUUUCUACCCUCUCGUGCCUCUCGUCAUGUUGUCCUUCCGCGCGUCGAGGCCUUUCGUUUCUCACCGCCAGGGCCGCUGACGCGGUGCGUGUGCUUGUGUUUUCUUCUCUGCCUGCAGGUCGUUACCAACUUGGAAACCGCCAGCGAUCAUUGACAACGACUCCGAGGGUCGAACGCGUGAGCUCGUAAUAACAGGCAGGACGCUGAAUGCUCACCCUCAUCAGCCU